GGCGUUUACAGUCGCCAGUAGCGCUGUAUGCGUGUUUAUGCCCCCUCCCCGUCAUGCAGACACUGUGCGGACUGGUUUCAGCUCUCAGUGAGUGAACACGGCAGCCGGACCGGAACCGAGGCGAGCACAGCAUACACAGCCUCCGAGACCGACAGAGGCCAGUGGGAAUACAGUCCUGAUGUGGUUUUCUUGCCGUGUUUCUUGGCACCCGGGGCUGAGUAAGCUAACUGAACUAGCAGCACGGCUAAUCGACCAAGCUAACAUACAGUUGUCCUGUGAAGCUAGAUGCUGCUCCGUGGUCAGUCCCACCAGGAAAGGUGUACUGAGGUUCCACCAACCACAACACACUCUUGUGUGCUAGACAGACUUUUUUGUAGGGAAUAUCUCCUCGCAGUCUGCGAGCCAGAAGCCAGCGAGUGCGAAAGAGAUGGUAAAUCAAGUGCAUUCGAACAUGCUACACAAUAGAGAAGUUAUCCUAUGAAGUGUGGGUUCUGCAGUUGUCUCAGCUCAAGUCAACAAGAUCUAUUGAGCCGUAGACUACGACACGGAAGAGCUCACUGGCCCUGUGUUGCAUUAAACACACUUUACCAGAUCACAUUGCAGGACUGACAUCUACCUUUUCCUAUGAGUAAUGUGAAUUUCGAGAAACUUGGACUAAGCGCAGAUUUUUCAUUCAUCUGGCACAUCAUUUAAAAAGUCAACAGACUGUGCAUUGCCCGGAAAUUGCUAAAAAUGAAACCUGUACCAUUGACACUUAUAUCAUUGAUGGUGUUGGGCAGUAAUGCAAUGUAAUAUGGCUGGCUAUAUGGCAAAAAGAAUACAGUUUUUACCUGGGAAAUGGACAUGGACCCCUGCAUUGACAAGAAAAGAAAAUGCAGAGUCAUCCUGCAACUUUCUUUAACCUGACUUUGCUGCAUCAAAAUGAAAGAUUAUGUGGCAAAGAACUGAGUUAGCCAAUCAAAUAUCUUUUAAAUUAGACUAAUUGUAUAAUAUUUCAUCAUUUAGCUUCUAUCUGAAGCAACAUUCCCACACCAACACAGACCCUUGUGUUUUCUCUCAAGUGUCAUUUUUGGUCUGAACAGGGUUGAGACAGAAUUUCAGUCAGGUACUAAAUAGUUUAAGAACCAUAAAGUCUAUGUCAUUCAACCAUCUCAUCAUACAUUUAUAAUAGCCUUUAACAGAGCCUAUGGUGAAAAAUGUUUGCACUUAAUGCUGUAAUAGAUCUACAGUUUUCUUGGAUUUUGAUCACUGCCAAUCAUUCUGAAAUGUUUAAAAGAAAUCUGAGACUAAAUUGCUAAAUAUACAUAUUCAUUAUAAAAUUUCACAGUCACAGCUGGACUAAUGCACUUUUCUAAAACAGUACACUAUCCCUCCUACGUUGCAAGUCAGUGCUAAAAUAUCAUCUUUCAUGUUAAAAUGUAAAUGUGAAAUGGUGUCCCCGCGUCCCUGUACACACAUCGGUUGACGAUGGAUGGAUGGAUGGAUGGAUGGAUGGAAAUGUUGGCUCCAGUUAUAGCAAUGUAGUAUUUUUUUUUUAUCCCCAGUAUGUCUGAUUAGCAAGCUAGCAAUUGACUGCAGACACACAGUAUCUAACAGUCAAGUCUUUCAAAUCUAUUCAGUAUAAAAAGUCAACAUACUACAACAUACAUACAGAAAUAUGCAAAUUGAUAACAUACCUUGAACACCAACUUUUGAUUAGUUUGCAAAGUAAUGGCCAUGUAAACACUUCUCACAAACAUGUGAAAUGGGCAGAGUUAAUGUGAUAAAUGUAUUUAGUCUUUACCAGUUUAUUAGGUACAUCUAGCUUAAUAUACAGUCUAAUCCAAUAUUCAUGCAAUAAAUCCUCCCAUCAUGAAAAUGA
This is a long non-coding RNA of Micropterus dolomieu (smallmouth bass), 1861 nucleotides long. RefSeq lists it as uncharacterized. The transcript is spliced from 4 exons. NCBI's taxonomy places the organism in Eukaryota, Metazoa, Chordata, Actinopteri, Centrarchiformes, Centrarchidae. The record is from RefSeq and is a predicted model, not a curated record.